GAACGCUAGCUACAGGCUUAACACAUGCAAGUCGAGGGGAAACGAUAGAGAAAGCUUGCUUUUUCUAGGCGUCGACCGGCGCACGGGUGAGUAACGCGUAUCCAACCUGCCCAUCACUUGGGGAUAACCUUGCGAAAGUAAGACUAAUACCCAAUGAUAUCCGUCGAAGACAUCUGAAGUGGAUUAAAGAUUUAUCGGUGAUGGAUGGGGAUGCGUCUGAUUAGCUUGUUGGCGGGGUAACGGCCCACCAAGGCGACGAUCAGUAGGGGUUCUGAGAGGAAGGUCCCCCACAUUGGAACUGAGACACGGUCCAAACUCCUACGGGAGGCAGCAGUGAGGAAUAUUGGUCAAUGGACGAGAGUCUGAACCAGCCAAGUAGCGUGCAGGAUGACGGCCCUAUGGGUUGUAAACUGCUUUUAUAAGGGAAUAAAGUGAGCCUCGUGAGGCUUUUUGCAUGUACCUUAUGAAUAAGGACCGGCUAAUUCCGUGCCAGCAGCCGCGGUAAUACGGAAGGUCCGGGCGUUAUCCGGAUUUAUUGGGUUUAAAGGGAGCGUAGGCCGGAGAUUAAGCGUGUUGUGAAAUGUAGAUGCUCAACAUCUGAACUGCAGCGCGAACUGGUUUCCUUGAGUACGCACAAAGUGGGCGGAAUUCGUGGUGUAGCGGUGAAAUGCUUAGAUAUCACGAAGAACUCCGAUUGCGAAGGCAGCUCACUGGAGCGCAACUGACGCUGAAGCUCGAAAGUGCGGGUAUCGAACAGGAUUAGAUACCCUGGUAGUCCGCACGGUAAACGAUGGAUGCCCGCUGUUGGUCUGAAUAGGUCAGCGGCCAAGCGAAAGCAUUAAGCAUCCCACCUGGGGAGUACGCCGGCAACGGUGAAACUCAAAGGAAUUGACGG
RNAcentral lists this ribosomal RNA (895 nucleotides) under uncultured bacterium. Its description in RNAcentral is "bacterial SSU rRNA". It matches the Rfam family "Bacterial small subunit ribosomal RNA", at positions 31 to 916 of the family's 1533-position model. The record is from RNAcentral.